AUUGAGUUCUUUUUUGUUUAUUUUUGCUUGGGUUGUUUUUGUUUAGUAAUUUUUUGGUAUCAUAGGGGCUACAACAGAAGACAGUAAGAUUAGAACAAGGCCUUUCAGAUGAGUGGCUGGAGGACGUUUUCAGAGGAGUGCCCAGCAAUAACCACAGGCUGAAGGAUAUCAGCAGCAACUUACUGAGUACAGGAUCUGCUCCAUGAGUGCAGUCCCACCUGCUUACACUGUAAGGGAAGAGCAAGCUGCAGCCCAGAGGCACCCCCAGGCAUCGUGCUCCUGUUCAGUUGAUGAUUUUGGGGGACUUUGCCCAUCUAAAAUGGGACAUUUGGAGCUUUGUCAUCCAGAUGCCCCCUUCAGCCCUGCUCAGCUUCUCUGUGCACCUGUAGGAGUAUGAAAGUCUGGUCCAGGUUACUGCUUCUGGGUGACAGACACCGUUAAAGAUGUUCCACUUUUCUGCUGAGACUAAGAAAACUCAAGAUGACUAAAUCAGCAAUAAAAGCUAAAAAGAAAACGAUGACA
This 522-nucleotide long non-coding RNA is filed under the name Phasianus colchicus (ring-necked pheasant). Its description in RNAcentral is "lncRNA (ENSPCLG00000011145.1)". The record is from RNAcentral. Lineage: Eukaryota; Metazoa; Chordata; Aves; Galliformes; Phasianidae.